UGCCCAGUGAAUAAUUAAACGGCCGCGGUAUCCUAACCGUGCAAAGGUAGCAUAAUCAUUUGUCCAUUAAUUGUGGACUCGUAUGAAAGGCAUAAUGAGAGCCCGACUGUCUCUUAUAACUAAUCAAUUAAACUGAUCCCCCAGUACAAAAGCUGGGAUACUCCCAUAAGACCAGAAGACCCUGUGAAGCUUUAACUAACCUAUUAAACCCAAUAAUAACUAAUUUCGGUUGGGGCGACCUUGGAACAAAAAAGAACUUCCAAUAUAUGACCUCCUCAUACAAAAGGCAAACAAGCCACAUUAGACCCAGUACACCUGAUUAAUGAACCAAGUUACUCCAGGGAUAACAGCGCUAUCUUCUUCAAGAGCCCAUAUCAAAAAGAAGG
This 386-nucleotide ribosomal RNA is filed under the name Vipera walser. RNAcentral describes it as "partial 16S ribosomal RNA". It matches the Rfam family "Bacterial large subunit ribosomal RNA", at positions 1860 to 2516 of the family's 2925-position model. Lineage: Eukaryota; Metazoa; Chordata; Lepidosauria; Squamata; Viperidae. The record is from RNAcentral.